UACGGAGGGUGCAGGCGUUAUCCGGAUUCACUGGGUUUAAAGGGAGCGUAGGUGGGCUGGUAAGUCAGUGGUGAAAUCUCCGGGCUUAACUCGGAAACUGCCGUUGAUACUAUCAGUCUUGAAUAUUGUGGAGGUAAGCGGAAUAUGUCAUGUAGCGGUGAAAUGCUUAGAUAUGACAUAGAACACCGAUAGCGAAGGCAGCUUGCUACACAAUUAUUGACACUGAGGCUCGAAAGCGUGGGGAUCAAACAGG
This 253-nucleotide ribosomal RNA is filed under the name uncultured bacterium. Its description in RNAcentral is "partial 16S ribosomal RNA". It matches the Rfam family "Bacterial small subunit ribosomal RNA", at positions 524 to 776 of the family's 1533-position model. The record is from RNAcentral.